This is a long non-coding RNA of Rhinopithecus roxellana (golden snub-nosed monkey), 1295 nucleotides long. RefSeq lists it as uncharacterized. NCBI's taxonomy places the organism in Eukaryota, Metazoa, Chordata, Mammalia, Primates, Cercopithecidae. The record is from RefSeq and is a predicted model, not a curated record. The transcript is spliced from 2 exons.
GAGCCGGGCGGAGAAGCAGAGGAGAGGGACGCGGGAAGCAUGUUUGACCUGGGACUGAAAUCUGGAGAGCUUGGCUACCUUCAUCCUCCUCAGGCCAGAACAGGCUUCCUGAGACAGCCCAGGUCGUAGGAGUUUUACGAGUUAAAAAGCGGGCUGCAGACCCCUGCCUGGGUGUUUGGUUCAAGCCUUGGCUCUGGCCUCUGUCUUCCCGGGAGUUCGUGAGAUUCGGACCUUAGAUUGUUAGUAUUAUUUUGAGGGCCUCCUGUGUGUAAGCACAGGUUGUGCGCAGAUGGCUGUGCAGAGCGCCAUGAGGUAGAGGCUGGGGGAAUGAGGGCUUGGAGGUGCUUGAGGUAUGGUCUUUACCUACGUGAAAUGUUGGAGGUUGAGAUGAAAAAUCUUGCUUUGGAUUCUUCACGGAGGACUACAUCAUUUCAACCCUGAAUCUGGCUCAAUUCUAUUAUUCACUUAUUACUGCAUUUAAAACGUUUUAUUGGCUGGGUGCAGUGGCUCAUGCCUGUAAUCCCAGCACUUUGGGAGGCCAAGGCGGGUGGAUCACUUGAGGUCAGGAGUUCAACACCAGCCGGGCCAACAUGGCAAAACCCUGCCUCUACUAAAAAUACAAAAAUCAUCUGGGUGUGGUGGCGUGCACCUGUAAUCACAGCUACUUGGGAGACUGAGGUGGCAGAAUUGUUUGAAACCAGGAGGUGGAGGUUGCAGUGAGCCGAGAUCACGCCACUGCACUCAAGCCGUGGCAACAGAGUGAGACUCUGUCUCAGUAAAAAAAAUAAAAAAAAAAAAUGUUUAAUUAACCAUGAUAUUUGCUUUAGUAAAACCUUUGAGGUUUAACAAGAAUUUUAAAAUCCAUUACACUUUUCUUAUGGCAUAUAAAAGUUUAAAUUUUUUUUUAUUGUCUCAGCUAACAUCAUAAAUGCCUUAAUGUUAAAAUCCAUGGAAUAUUCUAUUUAAAGUUUUAGCUUUAUCACCUCUGUGCUAUCAGAGAAUGCUUUGAAUUGGUAAAAUGAGUUAAAAGUAUUGGAAAACACCUGUGUCAGCAGAGGCUCUCAAAAAUCAUUUUCAUCCUUCCUCGUCUAGUGAUGACUUUUUUUUUUUAAACCAUGUUUUCACCAGCCUGCCAAUCCAAUGGCAUAGAUGCUCCUACAUAGGCAACUUAAAUGUUUCUUAAGUUGAUGCAAGGUAUUUUGCAUGAGGCUGAAUUCUUAUUGUUGGAGCAGAGGAUUUUUGUUCCAACAACUGAAUUGGCAAAAUGUCAAUAUAAAAAUAUCUCAAAAAGUCAA